Molecule: long non-coding RNA, 91 nt
Organism: Aricia agestis (brown argus)
Lineage: Eukaryota; Metazoa; Arthropoda; Insecta; Lepidoptera; Lycaenidae
Exons: 3
Source: RefSeq, a predicted model, not a curated record
AUAUGUGUGUACUGAGUGAAAUUUUCGAUUUUGCUCCGGUCGCCUGCGCAGGCUCAAAAAACUGCACAGGUCUAUUCCCAUACACGUUCCG